Macaca fascicularis (crab-eating macaque) is the source of this 1597-nucleotide long non-coding RNA. NCBI's taxonomy places the organism in Eukaryota, Metazoa, Chordata, Mammalia, Primates, Cercopithecidae. The record is from Ensembl.
GUGGCUCACGCCUGUAAUCCUAGCACUUUGGUAGGACAAGUCAGGUGGAUCACUUGAGGUCAGUAGUUCAACACUACCCUGGCCAACAUAGUGAAACCCCGUCUAUAACCAAAAAAAAAAAAAAGUCAUAUAUGUAAGUUGAAAAGCUAUCUUCACUUGACUUUCUCUCAGAAUGUUGCAUUAACAGUAUCAUUGUGUCAUCCAUCUGAUUUCCUGUGUUCAGGUAUGGACCUGACUACAAGAGUGGUCAGGAAUGGAACUUACACAGUCCAUUACCAGGGUCAGUUCAAAUAGGGUGGUGUUUCAGGCAAUUUUUAUUCAACUACUGGAUCAUAUAAAAGAGAAAAAGGCAAAGUAUAAAUGGAAUAUGAGCUAAUGUUUUAGUCUAUAGAGACAUGUCCAUUUUUUUGGUAGGAAACAAUUGAAUGAGUCAAUACAGCCCAUGGAGAAUAAAGUGUAGGAGUUUAUCAAGUACUGUACCAUGAGCAGAUAACAAACUGUGAAUAGGCAAUGUCUGCAUCCCUUGGAUCAAAAUAUAUUUUCCAUAAUUUAUGUAAUCUGUAAUCAGGCAUUCUAUUCAGUUGUGUGAUGUCUAUUUUAACUCUGGCUAAAAACAGCAUAUAGAACACUAUCAGGCAGCUCCAUUCUUCUGAGUUCUAUCAUCAUAAUGCAGGCAAAUUAUUAUUGUGCCUAUUGAAACAAUGAAGCCAGCUGCACAUCUGAUGCCAAAACACUGAAGAUAUUUAUUGAUGUAUUUCACUUUAAAGUAAAUACACUUUAUUAGGGAAAGCAUUAAAGAUUUCUUCAUGGAGAAUUAGCUAAACUGAUACACAGACACAUUGUUUCAGCAUUCUUGUGGGUUCACAUUAAUUUAUUCCUGUAGUAAACUUUCUUUCCAUUGUAUGAAUAGCCCAAUGCAUAUUUUUGUAAUGAUGAAAAAAUGCAAUUAAUAACCCAUGUUCUCUUUUCGUCAGGUCAGUAGAAGGGAGCGACAUCAUGAGGGGAAGCAGUAGCCAGGGAUAAUGGAAUGCUUCUAAUGACCCUUUUAAUACCAUCUUCAUAGACUGGGGCACAAGGGCCAUGUUCUUGCUUUUCUACCCCUUUGCUCAGUGUCUUCUCAUGGAGUUGUAAAAAUAAUAAAAAUCAUUUGAAGAUUAAGAAAAUUAGGUUUGAAUAUUUGUGUUUUUUUUCUAGACAUCAAAAGGCUGGUCAGUGGCCAAGCUAGGACUCUACCACUCAUCUGAUAACAGUUUGUCUCCAAGUUUCUUUUCCUCACCCGCUCCAUGUAUACACCCCCUAUAGGCAGAUCUGCUCAGUCUGCAAUAUACAAGCCAUGCAUCUCUGUGAAGCUCUGCUUGGGUUCAUUCUAGCUCCUCAGUAGUAAUGGUUGGCUCCUCCUUAAAACCCAUCGUCAUUGCCUGCUUUUAAACAAUGACUCCUACUUGACAGGUGCGCACCAUGGUGACAAUGUACCUAAGAGUAAGGUAUGAUCCUUCCCUUGAGUACUUCACAAGCUAAAGAUGAAGCAAAAUCUACACAAAUAAGUUUCAGAAUUCUACAUACUGAAUUUCUAAAAUGUACUUGAGAGUAAUCAUGC